Molecule: long non-coding RNA, 1846 nt
Filed under: Nicotiana tabacum (common tobacco)
Lineage: Eukaryota; Viridiplantae; Streptophyta; Magnoliopsida; Solanales; Solanaceae
Description: long non-coding RNA (NTAB_LNC007839)
Source: RNAcentral
UAAUGCUAACUCUUUAUGAUUAUUGAUUCGUGGCUCGUUUGUCGUUUUCUUAAUUCCUGUACUUAGGGUUUAUUGGAAAGACGAUCUCCUUAACAAAUUUACCGAUUACUUCUCCUAAUUAUUGCUUGAAUUAUGGUUCGAUUUAUUUAUUGAUCGACGGAAUUGUUCUCCUGUGCAAUAAAAGGUUCAAUUUUGGGAUUUCAGGGUUUGCUAUUGGACAAUCUUUGAGGAGGAGCUAGAUUAAGAGGCUUUUGUGAAGAUGUGGGCAGCUUCUUGCCUUGCGUCAUGCUGCGCGGCGUGCGCUUGUGACGCUUGCCGUACGGUAGUGUCAGGGAUCAGCCGUCGUUCCGCCAGGAUUGCCUAUUGUGGUCUUUUUGCUUUGUCACUCAUUGUCUCGUGGAUUCUUAGAGAGGUUGCUGCUCCUUUACUGGAGAAAAUACCAUGUAAGGUUUUUUUCCCUACAAUCAUGAUGCAUGAGCUUUUAACUUGUCAGAGCUUUCUCCUGUUGUCCGGUAUUAUUAACUUCAAUUCUAACGUUGGCACCCUGAUGUACAGAUGGCUAAUUGCUAUAUCUAUGGUCCGCCUCUUGUGUUAUUGGCUUUAAGCAUCUUCAUCCAACUCAGUCUCUCUAAAUGUUCGAUACUAUGCUAUCACAUUUAUUUGGAAAAGCUUGGUGCUUUACCAAAAUAUAAGUCAUUCUCAGCUAAAACUACGAAAUACCAAAUCAAAUUUGUAUCCUUGACAAGGAUUUGUUAGUAAUUUGAUGCUUCUCAUGGGCCAAUUAAGGACUUAUGUUUUAAACUGAUAUUUAAGGAAUUUGUAACCCCUUCUACUGAUCAAAAUUUUAUUAAUCUCGAGAAAGAUUACAUCUUGAAUUUGUAGAACACGUCUGCCCGUGAUUUGAUUCUCAGCCAUGUCAAUUCGACCUGGAAAACUUGCCUAUGCAAUAAUGAUGAGUGCAACGCGAAUUGCCAAUUGCAUCUUUGGUUAUUAGGAAUGUUUUAAGAUGGUGAAGGAUGGAAGACCCACAUAGUUAUGUGCAUCUGCGAGCUUAGGUAGCAUUUGAAGCAGAAGAGCUGUUGUAUUGAAUAAUUAAUUUACUAUCUCUCAGUGUUGUCUUCCUUGAGGUUUAACGAAAGCAAGGUGAUAUAAACUAGAGAACUUUUUGAGGAAAAUUUUCCUCAAAAGGUUAUAAUGGUCAGGUAGUGCUCCAUACUGCUAAAAAAUUUAGAAGUGAAGAGUUAAGAACAAAAACGCAAACCAGUUGCUGUCCUUUGUUACUUGUGGUGAAACUCUUUUUGAUAAUAAAUGAAGGUCAAAUAUACUUAAUGGACGAAAAUGGCCAGAAACACUUUUGGCUUGCUGGCUUUGCUUCUCUGAAUUUCUGGUAUCAAGCUUCCGAGUCUUUAAUUAUGUGAUUAGCAAUAGUGAAGCUUUGGCAAGCCGUCUUUGUGUGCAAAUGUCUGAUCAUUGAGUCAUAGGAUGAAAUACUUAUGUGUGUGUGUGCGUGUGUCUUUCUCACUCUCUACUGUCCCUUUCAGCCCAGUUAAUGCUUUGAGGUUAUAUUGUGAGCUUAUCAGUAGCGCCUUAAAUCUACAACCUUUAUUUUGAAAUAGUUUGACUGACAUUAUCGUUUUUACUCCUAGGGCUUUUCUGAUAUUCCAAGACAUCUUUAAUGUUUAUUACAUUGCAGGGAUUAAUAGCUUUCAUUCGACACCGAACAGAGAGUGGUUUGAGACAGAUGCUGUGCUUCGGGUUAGUCUGGGGAACUUCCUAUUUUUCACUAUCUUAGCAAUCUUAAUGAUUGGUGUGAAGAACCAGAAAGACCCGCGUGACAGUAUGCACC